This 253-nucleotide ribosomal RNA is filed under the name uncultured bacterium. Its description in RNAcentral is "partial 16S ribosomal RNA". It matches the Rfam family "Bacterial small subunit ribosomal RNA", at positions 524 to 776 of the family's 1533-position model. The record is from RNAcentral.
UACGUAGGGUGCGAGCGUUAAUCGGAAUUACUGGGCGUAAAGUGUGCGCAGGCGGCCGAGCAAGUCGAGUGUGAAAGCCCCGGGCUUAACUUGGGAAUUGCGCUCGAAACUACUUGGCUGGAGUGUGGCAGAGGAAGGUGGAAUUCCACGUGUAGCGGUGAAAUGCGUAGAGAUGUGGAGGAACACCGAUGGCGAAGGCAGCCUUCUGGGCCAACACUGACGCUCAUGCACGAAAGCGUGGGGAGCAAACAGG